GUGCUCGCUUUGGCAGCACAUAUACUAAAAUUGGAACAAUACAGAGAUUUGCACGGCCCCUGUGCAAGGAUGACACGAGAAUACAACGUGCUCUUACUUGUAUAG
Dromiciops gliroides (monito del monte) is the source of this 105-nucleotide small nuclear RNA. The record is from RefSeq and is a predicted model, not a curated record. NCBI's taxonomy places the organism in Eukaryota, Metazoa, Chordata, Mammalia, Microbiotheria, Microbiotheriidae.